UUAAUAUAUUCUCUUUUCUAAAAACUUAAAACUGUUUAACUUAGGAUAAAACUAAAAUAUCAAGUUUUUUGAAUGGAGAGAGAGUAAAAAAUACCUCAUUCGUUGCUGCAGGGAUUAGAAAAAAAUUAAAAAGGACAUGUUUUCAGCAAUUUUAAACCGCAUUGCCUAAAUCAGCUGGGGGCUAUGCAUACGGAUGCUGCCGCACUUGUCAUCAACUAUCCAGGUGAGGAGGAAAACAAUUACAUGUUGCAAUCCACACAUGACACAUCAGACUGUGGGAGGAGGUAUUUCGUGUGAAGCUAAAACUGUGCUGCAUAGUAUUUGAAGGAGCAUUGACAUUCAUAUGGCGUGUGCUAAAUUUUUUUUGUACAACUGUGCAUCAGUAUCACUAAUCCAUUUUUUUCUUUUGCAUCAAAACAACUUGCCUGUGCAUCAAUAUCAUCAAUCCGUUUUUUUUUGGCGAGGUUGUGUGCCAACUGAUGGACGCGGCGCAUCCCGAUGCCAUGCUGAUGCAUAGGUUAACUUCGAUGCCAAGACGGCAGGGUCCUGCAGGAUGUGUUUCAACAAGCUCAAGAGUCAAGAUCACUAAGGUCUACCCUUGUGUUGAAAUCGAUUCAACGAGUUUGCUUCGUGCUCUGAAUGUUCAGUGCUAAUGAGAGUUGAUUCUAGUUGUAUGAUGUGACAUGUGCACAUGUCAUGCAGUAGUGUUAAAGCCUUGUAGGAUCGAUUCCUUUGCUAAUACAAAGAGUUUGAUGAUGCCAUAUUUGUGCUCUAAUUUUUGAAUGCUGUGUUGUUUGGUACCUAUAGAAGAAAAUUGCUAUUCUAGGACUCCCAAACAUGUGACUUUGCUAAAAUAGGAUUCCUAACAUUGACAUCGCUA
RNAcentral lists this long non-coding RNA (880 nucleotides) under Sorghum bicolor (sorghum). Its description in RNAcentral is "long non-coding RNA (SBIC_LNC007741)". The record is from RNAcentral. Lineage: Eukaryota; Viridiplantae; Streptophyta; Magnoliopsida; Poales; Poaceae.